GACGAACGCUGGCGGCGUGCCUAAUACAUGCAAGUAGAACGCAUUUGCGAACGGGUGAGUGACGCGUAGGUAACUGCCUCCUAGCGGGGGAUAACUAAUGGGAACGCUAGCUAUUACCGCAUACUGUGAGAUGGACCUGCGUUGUAUUAGCUAGUUGGUGAGGUAAAGGCUCACCAAGGCGACGAACCAAAGCCGACCUGAGAGGGUGAUCGGCCACACUGGGACUGAGACACGGCCCAGACUCCUACGGGAGGCAGCAGUGGGGAAUCUUCGGCAAUGGACGGAAGUCUGACCGAGCAACGCCGCGUGAGUGAAGAAGGUUUUCGGGUCGUAAAGCUCUGUUGUUAGGGAAGCGGUAACUAAACAGAAAGGGACGGCUAACUACGUGCCAGCAGCCGCGGUAAUUC
This 407-nucleotide ribosomal RNA is filed under the name uncultured bacterium. RNAcentral describes it as "partial 16S ribosomal RNA". It matches the Rfam family "Bacterial small subunit ribosomal RNA", at positions 28 to 526 of the family's 1533-position model. The record is from RNAcentral.